This is a long non-coding RNA of Corapipo altera (White-ruffed manakin), 938 nucleotides long. RefSeq lists it as uncharacterized. Lineage: Eukaryota; Metazoa; Chordata; Aves; Passeriformes; Pipridae. The transcript has 5 exons. The record is from RefSeq and is a predicted model, not a curated record.
CAAAGCACACAUGCUGGUGUAAUGAUUGCAGUGCUGAGGAAUGCUUGGGAAGAUGUUGAAUUCUCCUCUCUUCCCCUCUGCUAGUCAUAAGAACCAAACCCUGGGUGCAGUGGAUGAAGAAAUGGACCUGUCUCCCCGAAGUCUGCUGAGUCUGUGUGAACAAGCAAAGAGGUGCUGACAACAACCUAGGUCUCUGGCUACUGUUUCCUGGCCACAUGUCUCAGUUUCCAGCAUCAUGUCAUUAAACUCCUGCCAAAUCAGAGAAAGACUGAGGUACAGCUGGGAAGGCUCUGGAAGGUGUGUGUGCUCCCUGAAGUCCAUCCCCUUGCCAAAAGACAGCAGAUCUCUGGCCUGAGAAAAGGAAAUGAAGAUGAGCAGUCAUUCCAGCAGUCAUUCCAGCUUGCUUACUGCAGAGAAAAUUUGGGGAAACACUGUGCAUAAACUGCUGGGGGUAUGACACUUACCAGCAGACUGAGCUGAUGGGGUAUAUGUCACAGAAAAAAAUAGCAACCUGAAUAAUUGUGCUCAGCUAAUAGGUGAUACCUGCUGCAGGUUAUAAUAACAGCACUGUGAGACCUGAGAACACCUAAAGGAGGAAAAAGUCCAGUGGGCUGAUCUCCAACACAGUGUCCAGAAAACUUCCUGUCUUGUGGGAGCUCUCUGCCGCAACUGCUCCUGGAAUAUUCAGCUACGGACUGGUAUGUGAAGUCAAAGAAGGAAACUGACUGCAUAAAGUUUGAGAAGAUUAAAAUGGAUGAGAAAACAGGAAAAUUGAGUGAAAACUGAAGUAUUUCAAAUUUCAUAGCUGAAAAAAAGGAGUGGUUAUAAGGUAAUUGAAUCACAGUCUAAAUAUCUGCACAGACAAGUGCAAACCAGCAGAGAUCUUGUAAAUGAAAGGUUUAUUGGUGCUGGAAGCUGUAUCUAGACAAGUUCAUCUA